Molecule: ribosomal RNA, 289 nt
Filed under: Bacillus pumilus
Lineage: Bacteria; Bacillati; Bacillota; Bacilli; Caryophanales; Bacillaceae
Description: partial 16S ribosomal RNA
Rfam family: Bacterial small subunit ribosomal RNA
Source: RNAcentral
GCUCUGUUGUUAGGGAAGAACAAGUGCGAGAGUAACUGCUCGCACCAUGACGGUACCUAACCAGAAAGCCACGGCUAACUACGUGCCAGCAGCCGCGGUAAUACGUAGGUGGCAAGCGUUGUCCGGAAUUAUUGGGCGUAAAGGGCUCGCAGGCGGUUUCUUAAGUCUGAUGUGAAAGCCCCCGGCUCAACCGGGGAGGGUCAUUGGAAACUGGGAAACUUGAGUGCAGAAGAGGAGAGUGGAAUUCCACGUGUAGCGGUGAAAUGCGUAGAGAUGUGGAGGAACACCA